GAAGGGGGCUAGCGUUGCUCGGAAUCACUGGGCGUAAAGGGUGCGUAGGCGGGUCUUUAAGUCAGGGGUGAAAUCCUGGAGCUCAACUCCAGAACUGCCUUUGAUACUGAAGAUCUUGAGUAUGGGAGAGGUGAGUGGAACUGCGAGUGUAGAGGUGAAAUUCGUAGAUAUUCGCAAGAACACCAGUGGCGAAGGCGGCUCACUGGCCCAUAACUGACGCUGAGGCACGAAAGCGUGGGGGGAGCAAACAGGAUUAGAUACCCUGGUAGUCCACGCCCGUAAACGAUGAAUGCCAGCCGUUCGUGGGUUUACUCACAAGUGGCGCAGCUAACGCUUUAAGCAUUCCCGCCUGGGGAGUACGGUCGCAAGAUUA
This 373-nucleotide ribosomal RNA is filed under the name uncultured organism. RNAcentral's name for it is "partial 16S ribosomal RNA". It matches the Rfam family "Bacterial small subunit ribosomal RNA", at positions 527 to 896 of the family's 1533-position model. The record is from RNAcentral.